Non-coding RNA from Camellia sinensis, 460 nucleotides. Lineage: Eukaryota; Viridiplantae; Streptophyta; Magnoliopsida; Ericales; Theaceae. The record is from RefSeq and is a predicted model, not a curated record.
UGAGGUUGUGUAUGCAUCAGCAUAUAAAGCAAAACAUCAGUUGAUCUGGAAGGACAAAUUGUUUUAUGUGGUUUAAGAAAUGGAGCAAUUUGUUUUCUACAUGUUCAUGUCUUGGAAUAAUUAUCAAUUUUUAAAUGGAGAUGACAACUGUCUUCUGGCUAUUAAUUUGAGAUUGGUUUUUAAUGACGUUCGGAAGUUUACUUGCAAAUGAAGAUCAACUGUUGAAUUUUGUUUCCUGAACGAAUACUUAGUUGUAGUUGCAAAUCGAGAUUGAGUGUUGAUUUUUUUUGUGGAUUCCACGUUAGUUCAUUUUGGGAUUUGCUUUGAUGGUUUUUUUGUUACACUUAAUGGUUUAUAUUAUUAAAGUUGUUUGAUGGAUAUAUUUUGAUUUAUAAUAUAAAUUGUUUACUGAAUUUGUUUGUGGAGUGAUGUAUAAUAGCUAAUGGAUUUCUUAGUAUAA